Unclassified non-coding RNA from Papio anubis (olive baboon), 148 nucleotides. It matches the Rfam family "Metazoan signal recognition particle RNA". Rfam says of the family: The signal recognition particle (SRP) is a universally conserved ribonucleoprotein. It is involved in the co-translational targeting of proteins to membranes. The record is from Ensembl. Lineage: Eukaryota; Metazoa; Chordata; Mammalia; Primates; Cercopithecidae.
GCCGGGUGUGGUGGCACGCGCCUGUAAUCCCAGCUACUCAGGAGGCUGAGGCAGAAGAAUUGCUUGAAUCCAGGAGGCAGAAGUUGCAGUGAGCAGAGAUCACGCCACUGCAUUCCAGCCUGGGUGACAGAGCAAGACUCUGUCUCAA